RNAcentral lists this ribosomal RNA (504 nucleotides) under uncultured bacterium. RNAcentral's name for it is "partial 16S ribosomal RNA". It matches the Rfam family "Bacterial small subunit ribosomal RNA", at positions 30 to 523 of the family's 1533-position model. The record is from RNAcentral.
AUUGAACGCUGGCGGCAGGCCUAACACAUGCAAGUCGAACGGUAGCACAGAGAGCUUGCUCUCGGGUGACGAGUGGCGGACGGGUGAGUAAUGUCUGGGAAACUGCCCGAUGGAGGGGGAUAACUACUGGAAACGGUAGCUAAUACCGCAUAACGUCGCAAGACCAAAGUGGGGGACCUUCGGGCCUCACACCCUCGGAUGUGCCCAGAUGGGAUUAGUUAGUAGGUGGGGUAAUGGCUCACCUAGGCGACGAUCCCUAGCUGGUCUGAGAGGAUGACCAGCCACACUGGAACUGAGACACGGUCCAGACUCCUACGGGAGGCUGCAGUGGGGAAUAUUGCACAAUGGGCGCAAGCCUGAUGCGGCCAUGCCGCGUGUAUGAAGAAGGCCUUCGGGUUGUAAAGUACUUUCAGCGGGGAGGAAGGCGGUGAAGUUAAUAACUUCACCGAUUGACGUUACCCGCAGAAGAAGCACCGGCUAACUCCGUGCCAGCAGCCGCAGUAA